Molecule: ribosomal RNA, 275 nt
Filed under: uncultured bacterium
Lineage: Bacteria
Description: partial 16S ribosomal RNA
Rfam family: Bacterial small subunit ribosomal RNA
Source: RNAcentral
GCGUGAGUGAUGAAGGCCUUAGGGUUGUAAAGCUCUUUCGCCCGCGACGAUGAUGACGGUAGCGGGAGAAGAAGCCCCGGCUAACUUCGUGCCAGCAGCCGCGGUAAUACGAAGGGGGCGAGCGUUGUUCGGAAUUACUGGGCGUAAAGGGCGCGUAGGCGGCCCCUUUUGUCGCGUGUGAAAGCCCCGGGCUCAACCUGGGAACGGCGCGCGAAACGGGGGGGCUUGAGUUCGGGAGAGGAGAGUGGAAUUCCCAGUGUAGAGGUGAAAUUCGU